UUGCUUCUUUGCUGACGAGUGGCGGACGGGUGAGUAAUGUCUGGGAAACUGCCUGAUGGAGGGGGAUAACUACUGGAAACGGUAGCUAAUACCGCAUAACGUCGCAAGACCAAAGAGGGGGACCUUCGGGCCUCUUGCCAUCGGAUGUGCCCAGAUGGGAUUAGCUAGUAGGUGGGGUAACGGCUCACCUAGGCGACGAUCCCUAGCUGGUCUGAGAGGAUGACCAGCCACACUGGAACUGAGACACGGUCCAGACUCCUACGGGAGGCAGCAGUGGGGAAUAUUGCACAAUGGGCGCAAGCCUGAUGCAGCCAUGCCGCGUGUAUGAAGAAGGCCUUCGGGUUGUAAAGUACUUUCAGCGGGGAGGAAGGGAGUAAAGUUAAUACCUUUGCUCAUUGACGUUACCCGCAGAAGAAGCACCGGCUAACUCCGUGCCAGCAGCCGCGGUAAUACGGAGGGUGCAAGCGUUAAUCGGAAUUACUGGGCGUAAAGCGCACGCAGGCGGUUUGUUAAGUCAGAUGUGAAAUCCCCGGGCUCAACCUGGGAACUGCAUCUGAUACUGGCAAGCUUGAGUCUCGUAGAGGGGGGUAGAAUUCCAGGUGUAGCGGUGAAAUGCGUAGAGAUCUGGAGGAAUACCGGUGGCGAAGGCGGCCCCCUGGACGAAGACUGACGCUCAGGUGCGAAAGCGUGGGGAGCAACAGGAUUAGAUACCCUGGUAGUCACGCCGUAACGAUGUCGACUUGGAGGUGUGCCCUUGA
Molecule: ribosomal RNA, 758 nt
Filed under: Enterobacteriaceae bacterium HXF0069
Lineage: Bacteria; Pseudomonadati; Pseudomonadota; Gammaproteobacteria; Enterobacterales; Enterobacteriaceae
Description: bacterial SSU rRNA
Rfam family: Bacterial small subunit ribosomal RNA
Source: RNAcentral